AACCAUCACGAUGGGAACAAAGCGAACUAUUCUUUCGCCUUUUACUAAAGAAUACUGUGUGCUCGCUGCACAUGAUGGCAUACAUCAAUUUUUGGAGGAGUUUCUCUCCACAGAGAAG
Molecule: small nuclear RNA, 118 nt
Organism: Malus domestica (apple)
Lineage: Eukaryota; Viridiplantae; Streptophyta; Magnoliopsida; Rosales; Rosaceae
Product: U5 spliceosomal RNA
Source: RefSeq, a predicted model, not a curated record